Long non-coding RNA from Homo sapiens (human), 1296 nucleotides. RefSeq annotates it as long independently transcribed non-coding RNA 3010. The transcript is spliced from 3 exons. The record is from RefSeq and is marked validated. NCBI's taxonomy places the organism in Eukaryota, Metazoa, Chordata, Mammalia, Primates, Hominidae.
AUGCGGGUGUGAAUGUGUACAUGUACACGAAUGUGAGUGUGAGUGUGCAUGAGCGUGAGCGUGCGUGUGCGUGCGAGUGUGCACGAGCGUGACUGUGAGUGUGCGUGCGUGGAAGCGCGGCGGGGAGCCUGGCUGAAGGCCUGCUGCCUGCAUGGCUGUCAGAGAAAAACAGAAGUGGGAGCCUGCUGCGGGCUCCGAGAGGACUUGAUGGGAGCCCUGGCGCGCGCUGGGCACCGCGCGGAGAACAAUAUUGCCAAGAAUAUCUGGAUGGAUGGAGGUGGCCGGCAAAUCGUCAGAAGCAACUCAGACAGUCCAGAGGAGGAUGGUGCAGAGCCAGAGGAGGCACAGGGAGGCGGCAGGCAGAUCUGAGAGGCAUCACCAAGGCAGCGCUAAGGAAGGAGGAUGCUUCGGGUAGCAGCCCAGCGCUCUUCACUGGACUGAAGGCACCUCUUCUCUUUAGAGAGAGAACAUUUUCAAAGGUUAAGCCUAAAAAUCAGGACAGAUUUUACUUUGUUAUUGUUGUUUCUUGAGGCCUAAUUUUUAAAAAGCCUGUGUGCUGGCUGCUGAUGGCCUUGAUGAGAAAGUGGCCGUCAAUUAAACAGACAAGGGGGAACCGAGGAAUCCAGGUCAGCACGAUUUCCUGAUCUGUGGCAGUGACUGUGACCUGACUGGACUUGAGCUGGAACUUCAAAUAACACCAUUAGGUCCUAAUCAUAUCAGAGGUGAUCUAACAUGACUUCCCACACCAUCCCCUUUCAAAGAUGCAAGUCACAUGGGCACGUCUGUAAAAUGCUGAAGGCUGCACCGUGUGAGCUGCACAAAUUCAAAGUUUUCUGACUUUGCCAGCCCAGUAACACUGCCAGGUGCCAGCUUGUGGCAUUUCUGUCAGAAACCCAGCUGGCAUGAAAGUGGGUUUUUCAUCCAGCCUGGAGUAGCCCCCUGCAUUCAGAAAUUCUUUGCCUGACUACAGAAGUCUAAAUCAGGACUCACUUUCCCCCGAGCUAGAGGAGGAGGAAUGUGAAGCCUUGGAAAGAGUCGGCACCAUUCUGGGAGUCAGAUUAGUACACCCCAAGAAAGGGAGAGUGGCUGGGCCAGCUGCGACACAGUCCCCAACCGCUACCCGUUCCUCCACCGCCCACCAAGCCCAGAGCAGCCUCCCUCAGCCAGAAGACAGCUUGGAGGAUGGAAGACUGUUCAACUUGUGGCUUAAGCACAUUAUUAAAACCAAAGAGGAAAAUUCUUUGAAGAGAUGGGGUGGAGCUGAAUUUAAGAGAAAUAAUAAAAACCAUGACCAGG